AUAUCUGAGUAAUGUGUUUGCAAUUACGUCGUAUUACAUCUUAAAAAUUAAUCAAUAUAAUAUUGAAUAAAUGCUAUAUUUAUCAAAUAAUAAAAAUAAUCAUUUAAUUAAUAGGCAUGUUUUAUUUGACCAGCAAAUUAGGCUAUUAGCUUAUUUUGUAUGGAAGACUUAGCCAACAUAAUUAUGUUGUUGCAAUUUUAAUUCAAUUCAACUAAGCCGUGAACGGAUUUCAGUCAUUCUCAUAUUAAUCAUAUACCCCAAUUACUACAUAUUGAUUUUUAUCGGAUACAACAGUCCAGUGGGAAGGUAAUAGCCAUACUUUUUAGCACCGAAUGACGCAAGUCUAAGUCCACUUUCAAACAGGCAACUCCUGUUGCUAAUUCUCGGGUGAUUCUCUUUUGCUGUCGCCCAUUGCGUUCACACGAGCAAUUCUUGUUCGACAACUCUGUUCGUGUCUUUCUCUCAUUCUCUUUCAUAUAAUAUUCUCAACUUCUUGUACGCAUCGUUUCCAAGCAAAGAAAUAUAUUUCAUUAACUAAUUUUUAUCGUUAUUCUCAAUUUUCUAGCACAUUUUAAUUAUAUUAUGCAUAUUUCUAUAUGUUUUUGCAAUUACAUACAAAAUUAAAUGAUUAAAUUCAAAUUUUCAAAUAUAUUGUAAACAUUAAUUUUAAAAUGUGUGCAAAUGCAACCAUGUUACGUAGCAGCGAACUGUUACGAAUAAAAACCCAAAGCGUGUUGCCUGAACACAGCAGACCCGGCGCGAUUCUCCUCUCCUCGUCGCCUCCUCUCCUAUGACCCCUUUCACACGGGCAAUUUUUGUCGCGGCAAUUCUUAGCUUUAUAGGAGAGGGACUAUAUAAGUCCACUUUCACACGGGCAACUUUUGUUGCUAAUUCUCGGGCGAUUCUCUUUUGCUGUCGCCCCUUGCGUUCACACGAGCAAUUCUUGUUCGACAACUCUGUUCGUGUUUUUCUGUCAUUCUCUUUCAUAUAAUUUUCUCAACUUCUUGUACGCAUCGUUUCCAAGUAAAAAAAUAUAUUUCAUUAAGUAAUUUUUAUCGUUAUUCUCAAUUUUCUAGCACAUUUUAAUUAUUAUAUGAAUAUUGUAUUUGCAAAUUACAUACAAAAUUAAAUGAUUAAAUUCAAAUUUUCAAAUAUAUUGUAAACAUUAAUUUUAAAAUGUGUGCAAAUGCAACUCUGUUACGUAGCAGCGAACUGUUACGAAUAAGAACACAAAGCGUGUUGCCUGAACACAGCAGACUCGGCGCGAUUUUCCUCUCCUCGUCGCCCCCUCUCCUAUAAAACUAAGAAUUGCCGCGACAAAAAUUGCCCGUGUGAAAGGGGUCUAACUAAGAAUUGCCGCAACAAAAAUUGCCUGUGUGAAAGGGGUUUAACCGAAAUAUCCACCCUUAAUUAUAGCUGUCAUCGAUUGGCCAAAAGAACGCUCUAUCCUGUAAUUCAAACAGACAGGCAGCACUUAUGGUGCAAGCCUGCGCUAAAAUGUCCUCUUAAUCAUGCGCUAUAGUGCUGAACCACUUUCUUAGCUGGAGAAUUACUUAAAUCUGCACAAAAAUAUUUUUUAUCCAUUCGUUUCGUGCUGCGUCUAUGUCUUACGUUUUAUUUAAUCAAUUAAAAUGUAUUUUAAAGUGAAAACUACAAAAAUAUAUAUUUGUAUUGCAAAAUUUUGGCAACACUCAGCAAGCGGCGAUAGAAUUUUUAAUGAGGCGAACAGCGCGCAAAGAUAGCGAGCAGAGAAGUGACCAAUCGGUGACAGCUUAUAUUUCGACAUCUUCUUCCAAUUUAUGCGAUAUAAACUUAAUCAAAGGGACAAAAUGUAAUCUUUGUUAUAUUAAGAAAUAAAUAUAUUAGGGAUACGGAUCAAUAUA
Long non-coding RNA from Zeugodacus cucurbitae (melon fly), 1883 nucleotides. RefSeq lists it as uncharacterized. The transcript is spliced from 2 exons. NCBI's taxonomy places the organism in Eukaryota, Metazoa, Arthropoda, Insecta, Diptera, Tephritidae. The record is from RefSeq and is a predicted model, not a curated record.